CUAUGAUGUCCAUCUGGUCCAGUGGGUCACUUAAGCCGUCUUCCCUGCUCCAAUACCUGGUAGAUCUGCCACGUGCAGGCAGCCCCAGUCUUUCUGUGACCCAGAGGGUCCUGAGACCACACUGUUCCAGUGAGGGUUCCAGACCCCGCUAGCCACUGGAGUGACAUACCUCACCAGAGCAGACUUCAAAAAAUAUCCAAAGAGAAGCAAGGAUCUGCAGAGCAGAGAAGAUGUGAGAACCCAGGAAAGAUUUCUGGCACCAAACAAAGGAGAAAAGGUUUGCCCUUAUGUUUUACUCCUAAGGAUGGAGGAGAAUUUUUAAGCCAAGACAAUAAAUCUGGAAGGAAUAUCAGAAAUGACAGACAUAUUUGAUUACAUAAAAUUUCCCGAAUGACCAUUUAUACUGUAAGUGAAGUCGAUUGUGUAAU
Mustela erminea (ermine) is the source of this 428-nucleotide long non-coding RNA. RefSeq lists it as uncharacterized. The record is from RefSeq and is a predicted model, not a curated record. Lineage: Eukaryota; Metazoa; Chordata; Mammalia; Carnivora; Mustelidae. The transcript has 4 exons.